Long non-coding RNA from Humulus lupulus (European hop), 1202 nucleotides. RefSeq lists it as uncharacterized. The transcript is spliced from 2 exons. The record is from RefSeq and is a predicted model, not a curated record. Lineage: Eukaryota; Viridiplantae; Streptophyta; Magnoliopsida; Rosales; Cannabaceae.
AUAUGAUUCACAUGGUUACUACUCAAACGAAGAAGCUAUAAGCUUCGUGGAGAUACCUUUUUCUUUGUCCCUUCAAAGAGAGGACAACACUCACUUUAAUAAAGAAAAAGAUAUAUAGAACACCACUCAAUAACGAGACGUCUGCAUAUAUAUCGAGAGGUGGAAUUUAGUAUUAUAUUAUUUAGCUAAUAAUAAUAAUAAUGUAUGAUCAAUCACUUAAUAUAUAAUACAAUGUAAUUAAUUAUAAAGACAAUCGAUUAUAAGUAGUGUGCAUGAUGAGAAGUUUGAGAGUUGCCAAAUCUAGAGAGAGAGAGAGAGAGAGUGAGAGAGAAAUUUAGAUCAGUUGGUGUUGUAGUAUAGUAUACUACUUGACUUCGUCGACGGCGGGUAUCAGUAUCAACUACUUAACAAUGGUGAUGGUUUACAGAAGAAGUAAGGGAGGAAUAUUAACGGCUGCUGCGGCGGUAGCAGUAGUCCUGAUUAUUAACUGUUGCGGAGCAGCUGUGCUUCUGAAGACCAAUGUCACUUAUGAUCGCUACUGUCUUAAUGGUGCUGGCACCACUUACGAGAACUGCCUCAUUUCAGAGAACCUUGAAUUGGAGUUUUUGGUGGAUUCUCACGUCAGCCGAAUUAUUGCUGAGAAGGGUGAAAGUAAUUCCGUAGCCGGAAAAUCUAACAAUCGGAACAAGGCGAUCUGCUCUGGUAAGGAAGGUCAAUCGUACCAGAAGUGUCUCGACGAACAGCAACAAAAGAUCAAAUGUCCCAACGGACAGUACCUAAGAAGUUGCUAGCUAGAAGUAAAGUCGACCUCCAAGCCUCUCCUAAUAGCCGGUCACAGAGCUUCUUUUAUGGUGUGUCAGUGUGGGGUUGCUCUAGUUUGGCGGUGGGGUGAGGUAUAUACUCAAAUAUGGCUUUUGUGUUGUUUGGUUGGCCACGAGAUAACGUGGUGAUGGCAGUGUCGCAAGGUACGGUUAGAAGUUGUCGACUCGAUCGACGAGGAUAAUUGUUGGUUUGGCUUUAUCUCUAAAGCUUGUCCACUGUUGUGAUGUUUUGUCAUUGAAUCUCACUUGAUAAUGUCCUUUGUGUCUUCAAUAAUGUGUUUCUAGUAUGUUUUGUUGUUUGUUUGUUAUGUUUUCUUUUAGUACUAGUCUUGUUUUAGAUUACAAUAAUAGUGCUAUUAUCAUCCUUAAUCCUUUGAAGAA